AGAAUAUAAAUUAUGCAGCUUGAAGAAAGAAUUCUAAAGAAUAAAAAAUCUGUAUUGCAAACAACUUCACUUCCACUAAGGUAGAGGGACAAACAUAUAUAACAAGGUUUAAGUUUUUAACCUUUGUCAUAAGUCUAUGUUACAUAAAUAAGUAAUUCCCAAUAAAACUUCAAAUAUUAUCCACAGAAGAGAUUUCUCCUUUUCGUCAAGUUAUUACUUCAGGUGGCAUCUGGUGGUAAUAAUGAUUGUGUGAACAGUCAAUGAAAAUUAAGUAUGCUUAAAAACAUUUUUUUUUUUUUGGUAAGGCAAAGGAUCUGAAAUGAAAUGGUUUAUUAAGAAAUAAAGUA
This is a long non-coding RNA of Herpailurus yagouaroundi (jaguarundi), 347 nucleotides long. RefSeq lists it as uncharacterized. The transcript is spliced from 2 exons. Lineage: Eukaryota; Metazoa; Chordata; Mammalia; Carnivora; Felidae. The record is from RefSeq and is a predicted model, not a curated record.